GCUGGAGUUACUAGUAAUCGCAGAUCAGAAUGCUGCGGUGAAUGCGUUCCCGGGUUUUGUACACACCGCCCGUCACACCACGGAAGUUGGGGCGCCCGAAGCCACUUAGCUAACCCUUUUGGGAAGCGAGUGUCGAAGGUGAAAUCAAUAACUGGGGUGAAGUCGUAACAAGGUACC
Molecule: ribosomal RNA, 177 nt
Filed under: uncultured bacterium
Lineage: Bacteria
Description: partial 16S ribosomal RNA
Rfam family: Bacterial small subunit ribosomal RNA
Source: RNAcentral